RNAcentral lists this ribosomal RNA (943 nucleotides) under Rhinusa brondelii. Its description in RNAcentral is "partial 16S ribosomal RNA". The stretch from base 396 to 600 matches the Rfam family "Archaeal large subunit ribosomal RNA", at positions 1797 to 2106 of the family's 2987-position model. The record is from RNAcentral. Lineage: Eukaryota; Metazoa; Arthropoda; Insecta; Coleoptera; Curculionidae.
UAUUUGUAUAUAAUUUUUACUGUGAAAAAAGUAUUAUUAAUAUAUUUAUAGAGGUUAAAUGCUAUUCGAUUUUAAAUAUAUCUAGUUUUUUAAGAAAAAAAUUUAAUUUUAUUUUUAUUUAAUUAUAAAAUUUAUUUCUUAAUUUUAUAAUAGUAAAAUUUUAUUUUUUAAGGGAUGAGCUUUAAAAAAUAUUAAUAUAAUUUAUUAAUUUUUUUUAUUAAGUAGGAUUAAAAGUUUCUAUCUUUAAAAGUGUUUUAUAACAGUUUAAUAUAUCUAUAAAAUUUAUAUAUAAUAAGUUUAUUUUUUUUAUUAAAAUUUAGAUCUUAAUUUUUUAGAUUUAGUAAUUAUGAUAAAAUUAGUAUAAUAUUUUGUAUAAGUUUAAUAUUUAUUAAAGGUUAAAUAAAGGAAUUCGGCAAAAAUAUUUUUCACCUGUUUAAUAAAAACAUGUCUUUUUGAUUAUAAUUUAAAGUCUAGCCUGCCCUAUGAUGUAGUAAUUAAAUGGCCGCGGUAUUUUGACCGUGCAAAGGUAGCAUAAUCAAUAGUUUUUUAAUUGAAAGCUAGUAUGAAGGGUUGAAUGAGAAAAUAACUGUCUCUAUUUAAAUUUUUUAGAAUUUUAUUUUUAAGUAAAAAAGCUUAAAUAUAUAUUGAAGACGAGAAGACCCUAUAGAGUUUUAUAAAUUUGAUAUCUGGGUGUUUUAGAAUUAUAAAAUUUAAUAGUCAAAUUUUAUUUAGUUGGGGUGAUUGAAAAAUUUAAUUAACUUUUUUUUUAUAUAAACAUUUAUUUAUGAAAAAUUGAUCCUUUUAUUAAGAUUAAAAGAUAAAAUUACCUUAGGGAUAACAGCGUAAUUUUUUUUAAGAGCCCGUAUUAAAAAAAAAGAUUGCGACCUCGAUGUUGGAUUAAAGUUUAUUUUUGGUGUAGAAGCUAAAAUAUUAGGUCUGUUCG